GCACCAACCAAUGCCCUCACGGUGCCAUGUGCCAGAAGUUCAAGUACGUCUUCCCGACUCCCGCCGACCUCUGCGAGAAGGUUUGGUCCCAUUCCUACAAAUACAGCACGGAGCGCCGGGGCAGCGGGAGAUGCAUCCAGAUGUGGUUCGACCCCAUAGAGGGCAACCCCAAUGUGGCCGUGGCACAGUACUACGCCCUCGGCCCCGCUGCCGACCCCCAUCCUACGCCUCUCGUCCUGCUGGCUCCGUUGGCCCUUGUCCUGCUGGGGGUCACGCCGUGGGGAUGAGGUUGGGGGGGUCCCGGCGCUGCUGUAUGGGGAAUAAAAGUUGGGGCCGUACGGAUGGGUCUGUAGGGAUGGGGGUCUGAGGGUGACUGCUUUGUGGGGUGGGGGGUCUUCUUGUGUCAGCCUAUAGGUCCCGGUCAGCAAUGAGGGGCUCAUAGCCCACGUGGGAACAUCAUGGCCCCAUCAUGGCAGCCCGUGUCCCUGUGGGAUUACACACCCACGGGGACCCAAUGGGCACAUCCUACAGCCCAAUACGUCACACCCUAUGGUCUCCAUGGUCACAUCCUACAGUCAAAUGGGUCACACCCUAUGGGUCCCCAUGGGGCACAUCCCACACCCCUAUGGGUCCCCAUGGGGCACAUCCCACACCCCUAUGGGUCCCCAUGGGGCACAUCCUACAGCUUAAUGUGUCACACUCUAUGGGUCCCCAUGGGGCAUAUCCUACACCCAAUGGGUCACACCCUAUGGUCUCCAUGGGCCAUAUCCUACAGCCCUACAGGUCCCUGUGGGUCACAUCUUGGUGGUCCCCAUGGGUCACAUCCUAUAACCCAAUGGGAUCCCUUGGGUCACAUUCUACAGCUCAGCGGUUUCCCAUGGAUGACACCAGACAUCCCAAUGUGUGACAGCCUGUGGGUCCCCGCGGGUCACAUCCCAUAACUCCGUGUGUCAAACGUACCCUAUGGAUCCCUAUGGGUCAUGUCCUACAGCCCGAUGGGUCUCCAUGGGUCACAUCCUACACCCAAAUGAGUCACACGUCUUGUCCCUAUGGGGCCUCUCAGUCCCACCCUACAUCCCAGUGGGUUCCUGUGGGUCACAUCCUACAGCGCAGUGGUUCCCCAUGGGUCCCACCUCGGGUCCGCAUGGGUCCCACCCUACAUCCUAAAGGCUCACAUCCUAAAGCUGUGCCAAAGUGUGCCGUGCUGAGCUGUGCUGUGUUAAACCACGUCUCAGAACGUGCCGUGCUGAACCAGGCUGAACCAGGCUGAACCAGGCCAACGUGUGCUGUGCUGAAUGGUGCUGAGCCGUGCUGUGCUGAGCUGUGCCAUGCCAUACUGAGCUGUGCUGAGCCGUGCUGAGCCAUUCCAUGCUGUGCUGAGCUGUGCCAUGCCAUACUGAGCUGUG
RNAcentral lists this long non-coding RNA (1406 nucleotides) under Meleagris gallopavo (turkey). Its description in RNAcentral is "lncRNA (ENSMGAG00000022916.1)". The record is from RNAcentral. Lineage: Eukaryota; Metazoa; Chordata; Aves; Galliformes; Phasianidae.